This 309-nucleotide ribosomal RNA is filed under the name uncultured eukaryote. Its description in RNAcentral is "partial 18S ribosomal RNA". It matches the Rfam family "Eukaryotic small subunit ribosomal RNA", at positions 1470 to 1796 of the family's 1831-position model. The record is from RNAcentral.
CCCUUAGAUGUUCUGGGCGGCCCGCGCACUACAAUGGCGUGUGCAGCGAGUGCCGAAGUAGAGUUUUCCGAGGUAUUCUUGCAAUGCUCGUUUUGAUGGGGAUAGACCCUUGCAACUGUUGGUUUUGAACGAGGAAUUCCUUGUAAGCAUGGUUUAUCAUCCGACGCUGAAUGCGUCCCUGCCCUUUGUACACACCGCCCGUCGCUCCUACCAAUGAGUCGUCCGGUGAAGUUCGUAGACCUCGUGAUCGCGGAUCACUGGGGGAAGCAAAAUGAACCUCGCGGUUUAGAGGAAGGAGAAGUCGUAACA